RNAcentral lists this long non-coding RNA (1647 nucleotides) under Coffea arabica (coffee). RNAcentral describes it as "long non-coding RNA (CARA_LNC003613)". The record is from RNAcentral. Lineage: Eukaryota; Viridiplantae; Streptophyta; Magnoliopsida; Gentianales; Rubiaceae.
UCCAGACUCCAGACGUGGCUUUGGACCUAUUUCUUCUGCACCAUUUGUUCAGCCCUAAAAAUCUGAAACAACUCAUUGAUUGAUUAUAAUAUUCUCUUGUCAAAAUUGUCGACCAGAGCCGAUGUUAUGUUCCUUGGACCCCUCUUAAGUUUGACCUCACUCCUGAUUUUGCCUGUGGCGACUUUUCUAUCACAUGGAACCAUUCAAUUUGCUGUUGCCAUUUCAUACUCCCCAUUCAUUCGUCUACACGUCCUAUAUAAAGCAUUCCAUGGGAUCUCAAGAACACAGCUGAGAGGCCAGACAUAUUACAACAAUCAUUUUAUCUGUUGAUUGUUUCUGAAUCUUCAUGUCCAUGGCUUUCUUGAAUUUCAUGAAUUGCUUCAGGGAGUCGUCAGAAGAGUCCAGGCGAUUUGUAUGUAAUGGUGAUGUUUGUAUCUUGCGUGAUCCCAAGGCUUCAUCAUCAUCUUCCCCGGGCCUCUAUCUGAAGAACAAGAAGCGACAAGAAGUCCCUCGUGGACGAGCUCGAGCUUCUGUUGCCCGAUUUUCUUUUCGAAAAGAAAAGCACGAUUAGCUCAGCGUAAUGGUAUUGAUCUUUCUUCAUGUAAAAUUUUCAAUAAUGGCUCCUCACAAGCCUCCAGUAUUACUUUUUGUAUAGAACAGAACACCACCACCACAAGAAAAGAGAGAAGCUUUUUUUUUCCGUAGGUUUUUUCAAGAGCUUCUUACAAGAAACAAUCUGAAUAUGUAUUGCUAAUGCAGUAAUGCUUUGUUGCAACAAGGAUUCGUGCUGUCAUUUUCAGGACCGGGGAUCUGAUUGGAUUACCCCAGUCCUGUAAUUUCGUCCGUAAUAUUUUGUCUGGCUUUAAACCCUUUAGCGCGUAUAGCCUUUCGGCUUGGAUUCAUUGGAUGGCUAUUGAGAAGACUCUUUUUUUUUUUUUUUCGCAACGGUAGAAUUUUUAUAAUCUAAUCUAGUUUAAUCUAGAGGAAGGAGAUUCGAUGUAAGUUUCGCAACAGUAGAAUUUUUAUAAUCUAAUCUAGUUUAAUAUAGAGGAGGGAGAUUCGAUGUAAGUAGAAACUGAGGACCAAUGUGAGGAGACUCGUCCGAGGAGAAUGUUAGAUUGCGAAGGCAUUUAGAUGUCAAGCAAGAAUACAACAACAGCUCCUCUGACCAUUGAGCUAUUCCCGAUUUUUUUGAUGUAGAAAUGAAAUCGUUCCCUUGACUCUGUUAAAGCGAUCUCUUCUUUUCUCGUCCAUCCAUGCAGAUUAAUGUCUGAUUUAUGUCAUUAUUGAUCAAGAGUGCAUGGAAAUUAAAAUGACAUCACAAUCGGUGGCGGGUAAGAGAACCAAGGAAAGAACACACAUAUUAGACUUCAAAAUAGUGCGACUAAAAAAGAUCCUAAGAGAUUCCUAACAAUUAUAAUCAUCACGAAAUGACGCACUAAUAAAGAUGAAGUGCAAGUGCAAGAAUAAAUAGCUCUUUUUCAUUCCCCAAGGGUGAUUGUUUGCGAUGUACACAGCCAAACAGCCAACUCCGCAGAGGAUAAAGGUAUGCUACCACAAAAUAAUCAUGAUGCCCAAAUCACAAUAAUAACAGUAGUAAUCUUCCUUGAAGAAAGCCUGUACCAAAUUUACAAGAAACGACCUCAU